UUUACAGUAAAAAAAGAACACAGGCGUCCCUAUCAAAUGGCUUGCUAAGCCUACUUCUUCACACGACUAGAAGUUAGAAAACCUUACUGGGUUUUCAACUCCAAAGUCCAGAUUGGGAAUCCAGGAGAAGUCUUUGAGUGCAUCACUUGAAGAUAGUGCAACAAACCUUGCAGAGGCAAAGGCUGCUAUUCAAGGUGUAUUAAGGAAAUCAAAUGCACGGGAGAGGUCUGUACUGGGCAAACUCAAUAAAGAUUGGCAAGGAAGUAAAAUAACAAAGGAGGUCAACAGAUCCUGCAAGUUUGGGCACAAUUAAAGUUGGCAUCUCAGAAAGGAAUUGGAGACAUGUCAGGAUGAGUUUGAGAAUGAAAAGAACAUGCUUGGGGGUCAUUUGGGUGAGAAAGCAGCAGAGGAUCUAAAACAGAGAAUUAUUGAGCAUGUAAUUGGCUUGUGYACAUCCAGUUAUAUGGCAUAUUAUUUUUCAAGAUUUUAUGAUUUUAGAUAUUCAAAUUAAUUUAGUUGAC
Non-coding RNA from Nelumbo nucifera (sacred lotus), 521 nucleotides. The record is from RefSeq and is a predicted model, not a curated record. NCBI's taxonomy places the organism in Eukaryota, Viridiplantae, Streptophyta, Magnoliopsida, Proteales, Nelumbonaceae.